This 403-nucleotide ribosomal RNA is filed under the name Fusobacteriota bacterium. RNAcentral's name for it is "Fusobacteria bacterium partial 16S ribosomal RNA". It matches the Rfam family "Bacterial small subunit ribosomal RNA", at positions 355 to 776 of the family's 1533-position model. Lineage: Bacteria; Fusobacteriati; Fusobacteriota. The record is from RNAcentral.
UGGGGAAUAUUGCACAAUGGAGGGAACUCUGAUGCAGCGACGCCGCGUGAACGAAGAAGGCUUUCGAGUCGUAAAGUUCUUUUAUAUGGGAAGAUAAUGACGGUACCAUAAGAAAAAGCCCCGGCUAACUACGUGCCAGCAGCCGCGGUAAUACGUAGGGGGCUAGCGUUGUCAGGAAUCACUGGGCGUAAAGGGUUCGCAGGCGGAAAUGCAAGUCAGGUGUAAAAGGCAGUAGCUUAACUACUGUAAGCAUUUGAAACUGCAUAUCUUGAGAAGAGUAGAGGUAAGUGGAAUUUUUAGUGUAGCGGUGAAAUGCGUAGAUAUUAAAAAGAAUACCGGUGGCGAAGGCGACUUACUGGGCUCAUUCUGACGCUGAGGAACGAAAGCGUGGGUAGCAAACAGG